GACGAACGCUGGCGGCGUGCUUAACACAUGCCAGUCGAACGGAAAGGCCCUGCUUUUGUGGGGUGCUCGAGUGGCGAACGGGUGAGUAACACGUGAGUAACCUGCCCUUGACUUUGGGAUAACUUCAGGAAACUGGGGCUAAUACCGGAUAGGAGCUCCUGCUGCAUGGUGUGGGUUGGAAAGUUUCGGCGGUUGGGGAUGGACUCGCGGCUUAUCAGCUUGUUGGUGGGGUAGUUGCUUACCAAGGCUUUGACGGGUAGCCGGCCUGAGAGGGUGACCGGCCACAUUGGGACUGAGAGACGGCCCAGACUCCUACGGGAGGCAGCAGUGGGGAAUAUUGCACAAUGGGCGGAAGCCUGAUGCAGCAACGCCGCGUGCGGGAUGACGGCCUUCGGGUUGUAAACCGCUUUCACCUGUGACGAAGCGUGCGUGACGGUAAUGGGUAAAGAAGCACCGGCUAACUACGUG
RNAcentral lists this ribosomal RNA (468 nucleotides) under uncultured bacterium. Its description in RNAcentral is "partial 16S ribosomal RNA". It matches the Rfam family "Bacterial small subunit ribosomal RNA", at positions 28 to 507 of the family's 1533-position model. The record is from RNAcentral.